AACAAAAUUAACAAGAGCCGAAACCCUAUUUAACGAGGUUAACCAUCCUCCUCUCCACCCCGAUCGCCGAUCGAUGCAGCAACCCAACCACGACGCUGCCGUCGCCGCAGGCCCUCCCGCUCAGGGCCUCAGGUUCAUCUACUCCCUCUGUUUCUUAAACCUUUCGCUUCUCUCGGACUCUCUCCUCCCUUGCUCUUCCUUCCCUGGCGGCGACGACUGGGCCAGCGGCGGCUCCAUUUGUCACGUCUUCGCCCAGCCCUUUGCCGGCAACGAGCAUCCUCCAGGAUCAUAAUGAAGGCAUUCCAUCAGUCACCAUCACUAGUUGGCUAUACAUUUCCUUCCAGUCAAAAGACACGUAUUUCCUUCAGCAGCAGCCCUUAUCACCAUUGCUUGCAUCGGUAUCAGCUUGUAGCAUCUAAGGACACCUUUAAUUGCAACAAGAAGUAUGGAAGGCUAAUGGUUACAGUUAGUAGCCUCUCUGGGAUGUCCUAUGAGAAGUUCCCUGAAUCAGCUUGGGGUAUAUGGAAGGAUUCUUCCUCAGAGUCACUGAAGAACAUGAAGGAUGCGGAGCAGAAGGUGUUGGCACAAGAUAUGGAUUCUCAGUUCGUCGAGUCCAUCGUAUUUGAUAAAACACUCUACAAGUAUGAAAUUCUUGACAUAAAGACUAGCAUGGUAAAGAUUAUGAAGCAGCAGGGUUUGAUGUCUGCUGGUGACAAAGAUGAAAUUUUAAGUGCUCUUGAUAAGAUAAAACAAGAUAUUGUACGAGGAAAAUUUGAAUGGAGAGAUGGUCGAGAUGUGCAUACAAAUAUAAUGGAAGCACUUGUUAACAUGGUUGGAGAGCAUGCUAAGGUGCUUACAACAACAAAUCAAACUGAUCGCUGCUUGUCUGCCCUAACAGCAUGGUACAAGGAUUGCAUUAUGGCCAUCACUACUCGAAUAAAACGAAUUCAGGUGGCCCUCAUGUUCUUAGCAAUCAGAAAUGAGGGCUUAGUCCUUUCUGGUUCUCCAAAAACUGGGGAGUGCAUUUCACUUGACAGUAUAAUUUUGCCUAUUGUUAAAGAGCUAGCACAUGAUGCUAAUUGUCUUGGCUACUAUCAUGAUCUAAUUACUUUCUCCAGCAAUUUUGAUUGUCCAGUAACUGAUUCAUAUUUUGUGCGCUCUCGAAUUGGCUAUACUGCGGACAGAAUCAAUUAUGAUGUUCCUGACCAUCUAAUGCAGAUGGUCAAGAUGCCCAUUUCAUUGCAUUCUUUUAUACCAAAUGAUGAAGUAAUAGCCAACUAUUACAUGUUCCUAGAAAGGUUUUGUCCAAAUCAAAGGACAGACGAUGGAUUGUUUGCUCUGGACAACAGUCUAAAUACCAGUAUCUUCUGUUCAACUCAUGGUUUUGAUAUUGAGGAUGCUAGAUUUUAUCUUUUUCUAGCAUGGAUAACGUGCUGGAAAUGCUUGACAUGUGCAUCAAGUUUGCUGAAGGGACAUCUAUGACUCAAGAAAGUCCUCCAAGAGACCCUUCUGAUGCAGUGAGCUUGGCACGGUUCCUCAAUAGCAAGGGGCUCUCUUUGGGAACUUCAUAUGCCGUGGUUAGUUUGAGCCUAAGGAAGAGGUGCCAACCUUGGGAGCUCUCACCGCUGGAGUUGAAGAGAAUUGGCCUUCCUUGUGAUUCAUUGGAAGAGAUCUGUCAGGCUCGCAGUCUGCUGUUGCAGGGAAAACACAUCGUCUUUGAUGGUUUGACUGAUCGAGAUUCAUUGGCAGAGCUGUUGUUUUGGUGCGGUAAUCUUGAAAUUGAUCCACAUAUCCUUUUCUAGGGACGAGGGUUUCAGUUUGUUGAGUACGUUUCUAGGUCCUUGGACAGAUUGUAUUCCAGUUUUGAGGGGUUUUUUACAGUCAUAAAUGUUGUCAAAAAAUUCCAACUCAGACAUUUAGGGAUGUAAGGGAUCGAGUAUGAACGGGUAUUGCUGAUAGCAUCAUUUGGCUACCUCACAAGUCUAAAUUGUAAUUAGAUUAUGCUUACAAAAGAAAAUUGACAAUAGAUGACAUCCAAGUAAUGGGUCAUAUGGA
Panicum virgatum (switchgrass) is the source of this 2055-nucleotide RNA transcript. RefSeq lists it as uncharacterized. The transcript has 9 exons. The record is from RefSeq and is a predicted model, not a curated record. Lineage: Eukaryota; Viridiplantae; Streptophyta; Magnoliopsida; Poales; Poaceae.